AGGAGAGUUUGAUCCUGGCUCAGGACGAACGCUGGCGGCGUGCCUAACACAUGCAAGUCGAACGGAACUACUAGGAAGGAUCUCUUCGGAGAAACGGAAUUUUAGUUUAGUGGCGGACGGGUGAGUAACGCGUGAGUAACCUGCCUUUGAGAGGGGAAUAACGUUCUGAAAAGAACGCUAAUACCGCAUAACAUAUAUUGAUCGCAUGGUCGGUAUAUCAAAGAUUUAUCGCUCAAAGAUGGACUCGCGUCCGAUUAGCUUGUUGGCGGGGUAACGGCCCACCAAGGCGACGAUCGGUAGCCGGACUGAGAGGUUGAACGGCCACAUUGGGACUGAGACACGGCCCAGACUCCUACGGGAGGCAGCAGUGGGGGAUAUUGCGCAAUGGGGGCAACCCUGACGCAGCAACGCCGCGUGAAGGAUGAAGGUUUUCGGAUUGUAAACUUCUUUUGUCAGGGACGAAAUCUGACGGUACCUGACGAAUAAGCUCCGGCUAACUACGUGCCAGCAGCCGCGGUAAUACGUAGGGAGCAAGCGUUGUCCGGAUUUACUGGGUGUAAAGGGUGCGUAGGCGGCUAAGCAAGUCAGAUGUGAAAUCUAUGGGCUCAACCCAUAAACUGCAUUUGAAACUGCAUAGCUUGAGUGAAGUAGAGGCAGGCGGAAUUCCCCGUGUAGCGGUGAAAUGCGUAGAGAUGGGGAGGAACACCAGUGGCGAAGGCGGCCUGCUGGGCUUUAACUGACGCUGAGGCACGAAAGCGUGGGUAGCAAACAGGAUUAGAUACCCUGGUAGUCCCCU
RNAcentral lists this ribosomal RNA (796 nucleotides) under uncultured Bacillota bacterium. Its description in RNAcentral is "bacterial SSU rRNA". It matches the Rfam family "Bacterial small subunit ribosomal RNA", at positions 1 to 799 of the family's 1533-position model. Lineage: Bacteria; Bacillati; Bacillota. The record is from RNAcentral.